This 1140-nucleotide long non-coding RNA is filed under the name Homo sapiens (human). RNAcentral's name for it is "HSALNT0341155". The record is from RNAcentral. Lineage: Eukaryota; Metazoa; Chordata; Mammalia; Primates; Hominidae.
GGUCCCCCGCCCGUUGGUGGCAAGGCGGCUGGACUGGAAUCCCAGCAGGCGACAUGCGAGGAGGCGGGCAGCCCAGGAGGGUUGGACACGGCAAUGUGGACCUCGCCGCUUCCACAACGAUGCUGGCUACUGAUCGCGUGCACUUCCUUGCCAAAGAAAAGAAAUUAAUGUUAUGACUGGAUGAAGACAAUUGUGAAGAAACUGCACUUUGAGGUUGUCUAUCUCUGUAUUCUGAUGGAAAAGCGUGGAGUUUAGAAGCACUGCUCACUCCUUCAGUUUCUAACAAGUUUGAGACUAUGGUUAGGUGGUGAGGAAGGCAGGCUCAGCACCCAAGCCUUGGGGAGACGCAGAAAGGGCCCAUCCCAGGCACUCAGGUGGAGCAGCUGGCUGGAGAAAGAUUUCAGAAAGGUGUGUGCCUGGGGCACCCAAAGGCAUGACCUUCCUUUCUCCUUGGCAUAGGCCUUACAACACUGAGGAAAGGCCAUGGUUUGGCAUUGGAGCCUUCAAUAGUUUUCACCCCUAUGGAUCGAAAAGAUUGUCCAAAUAGAAGCUUAUAUAGGAUGUUAAAAAGUAAACUGACAGGACUAUGAAAAUUGUCUCCCAACAGAGUACAGCUUUUUUUUUUUUUUUUUUUUUUUUUUUUUUCUGAGAAAAAACUCCAGGAUGGAGUACAGUGGUGUGAUCUUGGCUCACUGUAACCUCCACCUCCGGGGUUCAAGUGAUUCUUCUAUCUCAGCCACUCGAGUAGUUGGGACUACAAGUGCGUGCCACCAUGCUUGGCUAAUUUUUUGUAUUUUUAGUAGAGACAGCGUUUCACCAUGUUGUCCAGGAUGGUCUCAAUCUCCUGACCUUGUGAUCCGCCCGCGCCUGCCUCCCAAAGUGCUGGGAUUACAGGCGUGAGCCACUGUGCCCGGCCCAUUUUGUUAAAAAUACAGAAAUAUUGGUAAAACCAUUAUCAAAAGCAUUGUGGAGCUUUCUAAAAACUUACAAUACCACAUUAUCCAGCAAAUCCACUUCCAGAUAUAUAACCAAAGGAAAUAAAACUAGUAUCUAGAAGAGACAUCUGUGCUCCCAUAUUUAUUGCAGAAUUAUUUACAAUGACAGAUGUGCAAACAACCUAAGUAUUAAUAAAUGAAUGGA